AGUAUCUAUCAAAUAAAAUUGAGAAUGGAAAUGGGGAAUGUGUCAAAGAGACAACAACCCGACCAAAUAAAAAACAACAGCAGAGGGUCACCAACAGGUCUUCAAUGUAGCGAGAAAUUCCCGCACCCGGAGGCGUCCUUCAGCUGGCCCCUCAACAAAUAUAUACUAGUCCAGUGAUAAUGAACGCCAUACUAAUUUCCAAAUUAAUCAAAUUAAUCAAAA
This 222-nucleotide long non-coding RNA is filed under the name Mytilus galloprovincialis (Mediterranean mussel). The record is from RNAcentral. Lineage: Eukaryota; Metazoa; Mollusca; Bivalvia; Mytilida; Mytilidae.